Molecule: long non-coding RNA, 424 nt
Filed under: Marmota monax (woodchuck)
Lineage: Eukaryota; Metazoa; Chordata; Mammalia; Rodentia; Sciuridae
Source: RNAcentral
UCUGAGAUGUCAAGGCAUGAGCCAUGUGACUUUUCAAGGCAGCAUCUAAUGAUGGGGUCUGAUGAUGUUUAGGGAGUUGAGAAGCAGGACUCUGAGGGCUGCACCUUGGAGGGGACUGCAGGGAACUCCCAGGGCACAGCAUCUGGAGCUGGAUGGGGCACUGCAAGUAUGAGGGCAGUUUACACUCAGGAGGGAAGUGAAAUGACCAAGCACACUCCAGUCCAGACUUCGCACAAAGCUCCACAUGUGGGCAACACUCUGUGGUGCCUAAAACCCCAGUACAGACUUUGGAUCGUCUUUAAAUGACAAGGGAGACAGGAAGCUGCCAGAGUUGUGACCUUGUACACAUCCUCUACCUGCAUCUUUAUGGAAGAGAGAUGUUCCUAACUAGACACCCGGCUGAAUUUGUUUCAGGUAAUGUAGA